CUGAUCCUACUCAUCCUUCUGCAUGGGUAACUCUGGUCUGGUGCUUUUGUCUGUUUGUAUCUCUUUCCUGUCCUCUCAACCUCCUGCCGGUUGAAGUAGACGACCACUCUUCCUGAGUUUGCCUCUGCUGGAGGUCCCUUCCUGUAAAAAGGGAGUUCCGCCCUUUACUGUUGAUACCAUCCUGUGUUUGCUCAGGAAGGGAGUGUGGGAGUAGUGAGGUCUGGGAGAUCACGACCCUAAUUCUCUCUAAGACAGACGGUUUAAUUAACACUGGAGGAAUCAUCACCGACUAGACCUCUACUAAAAGAAUGUACAGGGAAAUUACACUGCACAGGUCUUGGACGUUUAGUGGACCAGAAAGCUGACAUAUGAUGCCCAUGAAUGAUGGAUGAUAUCUUCUUGGUGCCAGUUGAAUGAAUUUUAAAGCAAUGAUACGACCCCUGUCAUUGUGGCCCACAUUGGCAGAAGACCACCUCACAGGGAUUUUCCUCUUCACCAGGUUGCAUGUCUUCUGUUGGCUUCCACGACCAGUCCAGGUCAAGACUACAAACACCUCUUUGACUGAUCUCGGCAAAAAUCCUUCUGCUGUCAUCGAAUUGCUCCACCAUCCUCAGUCACCUGGCUGCCCACUGCUCAAUAUCAUUUUUGUUAAGGUUUCAAACAUUCGUCUGAUCACCUCCCAAUAAAACCCGACCUGGAUUUUAACGUCAUACAGAGCAGUCUUCAUUCUACAACCAGUUUUCUAACUUUCCCUGAAAAUUAUCCACUGAAUACAGAACAACCUAUCUAAAGACACAUUACAGGAGUCUUUCUGUUUGCAGUCAUCUUUGUUGUAAAUCACAGACCACUUUCUGGUGAUAUUUCUCAAUAUUGAAUUAAAAGUUGAAUGCUAUAUUUUCUUUUUAUCUUUAAAUACUAAACAAAGAUGAAUAAAAAAGGCCAUAAUUUUUCAGCAAAAGCAAUAGUAAUACCCAAAAGUGGCAUAUUAGAAUGAUCACACAUUCUUCAAAGCUGUGAUACGGUUCCACAAAGUUUGCACCAUUUCUUAAGUUUGUACUGUUAGUUUAAUUUGAUUAAACCUGAAAAUCACAUUAUGGUAAAAAAGUGUUAGAGCAGCUUAGGGUUCAAAUAGCAGGUGGCAGUCGUGAAUAUAACAAUAACCCAAGGUAGUUUUUUUUGUUUAGUAUUCAUAAAAAACAAACUUGGAUUUAAUGAUUCCGCUCUGAGAGCAGUUAAGGGUUUAUGAAACUAACUGUGAUAAUUUCAAAAAUGGGAUACUUAGUUUUCUCAAAAACUGUUAAAGCAUUGCUGCCUCUUGACUCUAAUCCUGACAUCAGUCUACAGCAGGUGGCCUCGAGUACUAACAUAUUUCUACCCUACAAUAAACAUUGAGUGUUUUAAUUCUUAAUAUUUUCUUAUGAGGAGUAAAUUUUUUUGCAGAAUGCCAGGAACUGGUGUGUUUGCCCCUGUGAGGUUUGCAGAAUGAAACAGCUCACUGUGAAUGCCAUGUAUGCAAACACUACACUGUAAGUACGUAGACACAUAGCAGGGAAUUGCGGUAAAAGAAAAAUGUUUAAAAAGUAGAAAACAAUUAAUUGAAAAUUUUUAAAACUUUUUCAGGGAUGACCAGAGGAGAGUGGUAAAAGGUUAAAAACAAAUCGCAAUAAUUUAAUAUCAGACACGGGUGUGUAGAUAGUAGAAAAUAUUGGAAUAAAAUCAUGUUAAAAGACAAUUAAAGGUACAUCCUGAGUAAAAAUAAGAACAUUACUGCAAUUUUAGAAUUGAGAACAAAAAAAAAUAAAAAAUAAAUUAG
This is a long non-coding RNA of Cyprinodon variegatus (sheepshead minnow), 1813 nucleotides long. RefSeq lists it as uncharacterized. The record is from RefSeq and is a predicted model, not a curated record. The transcript is spliced from 6 exons. NCBI's taxonomy places the organism in Eukaryota, Metazoa, Chordata, Actinopteri, Cyprinodontiformes, Cyprinodontidae.